AAUCUUAAAAUUUUAAUUAAACUGCAAAUUUAAUAAAGAACAUAAAUUCUAAGAUUU
RNAcentral lists this transfer RNA (57 nucleotides) under Haemaphysalis flava. RNAcentral's name for it is "tRNA-Cys". The record is from RNAcentral. Lineage: Eukaryota; Metazoa; Arthropoda; Arachnida; Ixodida; Ixodidae.